UUCAACCUGAACUCAGACGUGACA
Molecule: ribosomal RNA, 24 nt
Filed under: Paratylenchus hamatus
Lineage: Eukaryota; Metazoa; Nematoda; Chromadorea; Rhabditida; Tylenchulidae
Description: partial 28S ribosomal RNA
Source: RNAcentral